This is a non-coding RNA of Schistosoma margrebowiei, 45 nucleotides long. The record is from Rfam. NCBI's taxonomy places the organism in Eukaryota, Metazoa, Platyhelminthes, Trematoda, Strigeidida, Schistosomatidae.
AUCCAGCUGACGAGUCCCUAAUAGGACGAGAUGAGUGUCCUGAAU